CCUACGGGGGGCUGCAGUGGGGAAUAUUGGACAAUGGGGGCAACCCUGAUCCAGCCAUGCCGCGUGUGUGAAGAAGGCCCUCGGGUUGUAAAGCACUUUCAGUGAGGAAGAACGCCUGGUGGUUAAUACCCAUCAGGAAAGACAUCACUCACAGAAGAAGCACCGGCUAACUCCGUGCCAGCAGCCGCGGUAAUACGGAGGGUGCGAGCGUUAAUCGGAAUUACUGGGCGUAAAGCGCGCGUAGGUGGCUUGAUAAGCCGGUUGUGAAAGCCCCGGGCUCAACCUGGGAACGGCAUCCGGAACUGUCAAGCUAGAGUGCAGGAGAGGAAGGUAGAAUUCCCGGUGUAGCGGUGAAAUGCGUAGAGAUCGGGAGGAAUACCAGUGGCGAAGGCGGCCUUCUGGACUGACACUGACACUGAGGUUCGAAAGCGUGGGUAGCAAACAGGAUUAGAUACCCUUGUAGUC
RNAcentral lists this ribosomal RNA (465 nucleotides) under Vreelandella stevensii. RNAcentral describes it as "partial 16S ribosomal RNA". It matches the Rfam family "Bacterial small subunit ribosomal RNA", at positions 338 to 795 of the family's 1533-position model. Lineage: Bacteria; Pseudomonadati; Pseudomonadota; Gammaproteobacteria; Oceanospirillales; Halomonadaceae. The record is from RNAcentral.